This 883-nucleotide long non-coding RNA is filed under the name Bemisia tabaci. RNAcentral's name for it is "lncRNA ENSSSA3NGG012289". The record is from RNAcentral. Lineage: Eukaryota; Metazoa; Arthropoda; Insecta; Hemiptera; Aleyrodidae.
UAGGUAGAACUAUUUUUUCCGAAUUAUUAUUUAAAGUUAGGAUAAAGAUACUGGUUGUGAGAGACUUUUCAAUGAUAACUAGUAAAAUACCUAAUCUGAGCAUGGAUUUGUAUCAUCUGGCGGUUGGCUGAUGACAUCAAAGAUGGCGAUAUCUCUGAGUCGCGGUAAGUUGGAACGCACGACUGUGGGUAGAGAAUUGUUUCCUUGCAACUUGGAGGCUUUGUAAAUGGACUGGAGAUUGCGGUCAACCCAAUAGACAUCGCUCAUAUGAAUUGCAAUACCCAUGGGGUUCGCGAGCUCUUUCGGUGCAUCCGUGGUUGUUUUGACCAAGACUUUCCUGUUCGAACCAUCCAGCCAGCAGACCUCCAGGUAGUUUUCGUGAGGGAAGACGUUAGUGAAAUACAAAUUGCCAGCAAUCCAAUCGACAGCAAUACCUCGGAUACCAUUUGAGCCCACUCCUUCUUUGAUAACACGGUUGGAGCAUAUUAAAAGGUACAUUAAUAUUUGACGAUCAAACAAACAAUGGUGUCAGGACAGGUUCAAACAAGCGAUAAAAAAACCAACUUACCUGGUCCAGCAAUGGGUGUCAUGGCCUCUGAAGAAUCUUUCAAACUGAAACCUCUGCUAAUGUCAAGUUGCGAUACGAUAGCAAAAGUACUGUAAGGCGAGCAGGUGAUAUCAGCAUCUUUCUUGUAGCCGAUUGAACAUAGACAAGUCCUUGUUCCACUCUCCGCAGGUAUGCACAUCUGAUUACAACCACCAUUGUUCGUCAAACAGGGGUGUCCCAUUUCUGAAAUAAGACAGCCGUUGACUUUACAGUUAAAUGUAAAACAAAUAGUUUGGGUGAAAAAAUUGAUACAUGUUAAACUAAACUUGCCUCGUU